Molecule: ribosomal RNA, 253 nt
Filed under: uncultured bacterium
Lineage: Bacteria
Description: partial 16S ribosomal RNA
Rfam family: Bacterial small subunit ribosomal RNA
Source: RNAcentral
GACGAACCGUGCGACCGUUAUUCGGAAUCAUUGGGCGUAAAGAGCUUGUAGGCGGCGUCAUAAGUUGGACGUGAAAACUCCGGGCUUAACUUGGAGAGGCCGUUCAAUACUGUGAGGCUAGAGGGUGUCAGAGGGAAGUAGAAUUCCUGGUGUAGCAGUGAAAUGCGUAGAUAUCAGGAGGAAUACCCGUGGCGAAGGCGGCUUCCUGGGGCACCACUGACGCUGAGAAGCGAAAGCUAGGGGAGCAAACGGG